RNAcentral lists this ribosomal RNA (467 nucleotides) under uncultured bacterium. RNAcentral's name for it is "partial 16S ribosomal RNA". It matches the Rfam family "Bacterial small subunit ribosomal RNA", at positions 28 to 507 of the family's 1533-position model. The record is from RNAcentral.
GAUGAACGCUGGCGGCGUGCUUAACACAUGCAAGUCGAACGGAAAGGCCCAAGCUUGCUUGGGUACUCGAGUGGCGAACGGGUGAGUAACACGUGGGUGAUCUGCCCUGCACUUCGGGAUAAGCCUGGGAAACUGGGUCUAAUACCGGAUAGGACCACUUCUUGGAUGUUGUGGUGGAAAGUUUUUUCGGUGUGGGAUGAGCUCGCGGCCUAUCAGCUUGUUGGUGGGGUAAUGGCCUACCAAGGCGUCGACGGGUAGCCGGCCUGAGAGGGUGUACGGCCACAUUGGGACUGAGAGACGGCCCAGACUCCUACGGGAGGCAGCAGUGGGGAAUAUUGCACAAUGGGCGCAAGCCCGAUGCAGCGACGCCGCGUGGGGGAUGACGGCCUUCGGGUUGUAAACUCCUUUCGCUAGGGACGAAGCGUUUUGUGACGGUACCUGGAGAAGAAGCACCGGCUAACUACGUG